AUACUUAGUUGGCAGGGGAGAUACCAUGACCGUGAGGUUAGUUUUCCCAGGGAGAAGCAUAUGCAUUGUACUCUGAGUGUGCUGAGCCCUGUGAUUUUCCCAAAUGUGGGAAACUUGACUGCAUAAUUUGUAAUAGUGAGAGGAUGUUUGCACUCUCC
Octodon degus (degu) is the source of this 158-nucleotide small nuclear RNA. Its record names the gene U1. It matches the Rfam family "U1 spliceosomal RNA". From Rfam's summary of the family: U1 is a small nuclear RNA (snRNA) component of the spliceosome (involved in pre-mRNA splicing). NCBI's taxonomy places the organism in Eukaryota, Metazoa, Chordata, Mammalia, Rodentia, Octodontidae. The record is from Ensembl.